RNAcentral lists this unclassified non-coding RNA (167 nucleotides) under soil metagenome. RNAcentral describes it as "partial internal transcribed spacer 1". The record is from RNAcentral.
GUGAAUUAAACAUGCUUGGUGUCUUCGCUUCGGCAAGGCCCUUGCCUUAAAUCACAUCCUAACCCCUGUGAACUGUAAGACGUAUGAUGAGGUCUUUGGCCAAGUCAUCGUCUGCCCAUUUUAACAAACAAUUAAUGUAACAAACGUAGUCUUAUUAUAACCUAAUA